Molecule: ribosomal RNA, 445 nt
Filed under: uncultured bacterium
Lineage: Bacteria
Description: partial 16S ribosomal RNA
Rfam family: Bacterial small subunit ribosomal RNA
Source: RNAcentral
GUGAGGAAUAUUGCGCAAUGGAGGCAACUCUGACGCAGCCAUGCCGCGUGCAGGAAGAAGGCGCUACGCGUUGUAAACUGCUUUUAACCGGGAAGAAACCCCAGGACGUGUCCUGGGUUGACGGUACCGGAGGAAUAAGCACCGGCUAACUUCGUGCCAGCAGCCGCGGUAAUACGAAGGGUGCAAGCGUUAUCCGGAUUCAUUGGGUUUAAAGGGUGCGUAGGCGGAGCGUUAAGUCAUUGGUGAAAUCCUGCAGCUUAACUGUAGACUUGCCAUUGAUACUGGCGCUCUUGAGUGCGCUUGAAGUGGGCGGAAUGUGCCGUGUAGCGGUGAAAUGCUUAGAUAUGGCACAGAACACCAAUUGCGAAGGCAGCUCACUAAGGCGAUACUGACGCUGAGGCACGAAAGCGUGGGGAUCGAACAGGAUUAGAUACCCGGGUAGUCC